UGGAAUGUCCUUUGUGGUGGACAGUUUUCUUUUCUUUUCUUUUUUUUGUAUAAAGUUGUGAAACUCUUGUCCACAAAUGUGGACAGAAAACCCACUGCUGCAAAAAUUCUCUUGCUGCAUGAACAGAUAUUUCCCUUUUUUCAGUCCCUUUUUCCUCAGAUUUAGUGUUUUUAUCUUGUUUUUAGACACCUCUUUUUUUGCAGUGCAGAGGUCAGUGUUUG
Molecule: long non-coding RNA, 221 nt
Organism: Sphaeramia orbicularis (orbiculate cardinalfish)
Lineage: Eukaryota; Metazoa; Chordata; Actinopteri; Kurtiformes; Apogonidae
Exons: 3
Source: RefSeq, a predicted model, not a curated record